Molecule: ribosomal RNA, 398 nt
Filed under: uncultured bacterium
Lineage: Bacteria
Description: partial 16S ribosomal RNA
Rfam family: Bacterial small subunit ribosomal RNA
Source: RNAcentral
AUACUGCACAAUGGAUGGAACUCUGAUGCAGCAACGCCGCGUGAGUGAAGAAGGUUUUCGGAUCGUAAAACUCUGUCAUUGGGGAAGAAUAAAUGACGGUACCCAAUGAGGAAGCCCCGGCUAACUACGUGCCAUCAGCAGCGGUAAUACGUAAGGGUCGAGCGUUGUCCGGAAUUAUUGGGCGUAAAGGGUACGUAGGCGGCUAAAUAACUCAGGUGUGAAAUACCAGUGCUUAACACUGGAAUUGCAUUUGAAACUGUGUAGCUUGAGUGCAGGAGAGGAAAGUGGAAUUCCUAGUGUAGCGGUGAAAUGCGUAGAGAUUAGGAGGAACACCAGUGGCGAAGGCGACUUUCUGGACUGUAACUGACGCUGAGGUACGAAAGCGUGGGUAGCGAACA